UCUGAUUAUAUGAAAGGUGCUUGCAUCUUGAUUUAAUUUUGAACGAGUGGCGGACGGGUGAGUAACACGUGGGUAACCUGCCCUUAAGUGGGGGAUAACAUUUGGAAACAGAUGCUAAUACCGCAUAAAUCCAAGAACCGCAUGGUUCUUGGCUGAAAGAUGGCGUAAGCUAUCGCUUUUGGAUGGACCCGCGGCGUAUUAGCUAGUUGGUGAGGUAACGGCUCACCAAGGCAAUGAUACGUAGCCGAACUGAGAGGUUGAUCGGCCACAUUGGGACUGAGACACGGCCCAAACUCCUACGGGAGGCAGCAGUAGGGAAUCUUCCACAAUGGACGCAAGUCUGAUGGAGCAACGCCGCGUGAGUGAAGAAGGCUUUCGGGUCGUAAAACUCUGUUGUUGGAGAAGAAUGGUCGGCAGAGUAACUGUUGUCGGCGUGACGGUAUCCAACCAGAAAGCCACGGCUAACUACGUGCCAGCAGCCGCGGUAAUACGUAGGUGGCAAGCGUUAUCCGGAUUUAUUGGGCGUAAAGCGAGCGCAGGCGGUUUUUUAAGUCUGAUGUGAAAGCCCUCGGCUUAACCGAGGAAGUGCAUCGGAAACUGGGAAACUUGAGUGCAGAAGAGGACAGUGGAACUCCAUGUGUAGCGGUGAAAUGCGUAGAUAUAUGGAAGAACACCAGUGGCGAAGGCGGCUGUCUGGUCUGUAACUGACGCUGAGGCUCGAAAGCAUGGGUAGCGAACAGGAUUAGAUACCCUGGUAGUCCAUGCCGUAAACGAUGAAUGCUAGGUGUUGGAGGGUUUCCGCCCUUCAGUGCCGCAGCUAACGCAUUAAGCAUUCCGCCUGGGGAGUACGACCGCAAGGUUGAAACUCAAAGGAAUUGACGGGGGCCCGCACAAGCGGUGGAGCAUGUGGUUUAAUUCGAAGCAACGCGAAGAACCUUACCAGGUCUUGACAUCUUUUGAUCACCUGAGAGAUCAGGUUUCCCCUUCGGGGGCAAAAUGACAGGUGGUGCAUGGUUGUCGUCAGCUCGUGUCGUGAGAUGUUGGGUUAAGUCCCGCAACGAGCGCAACCCUUAUGACUAGUUGCCAGCAUUUAGUUGGGCACUCUAGUAAGACUGCCGGUGACAAACCGGAGGAAGGUGGGGAUGACGUCAAAUCAUCAUGCCCCUUAUGACCUGGGCUACACACGUGCUACAAUGGAUGGUACAACGAGUUGCGAGACCGCGAGGUCAAGCUAAUCUCUUAAAGCCAUUCUCAGUUCGGACUGUAGGCUGCAACUCGCCUACACGAAGUCGGAAUCGCUAGUAAUCGCGGAUCAGCACGCCGCGGUGAAUACGUUCCCGGGCCUUGUACACACCGCCCGUCACACCAUGAGAGUUUGUAACACCCGAAGCCGGUGGCGUAACC
RNAcentral lists this ribosomal RNA (1404 nucleotides) under Lacticaseibacillus rhamnosus. Its description in RNAcentral is "bacterial SSU rRNA". It matches the Rfam family "Bacterial small subunit ribosomal RNA". Lineage: Bacteria; Bacillati; Bacillota; Bacilli; Lactobacillales; Lactobacillaceae. The record is from RNAcentral.